RNAcentral lists this long non-coding RNA (465 nucleotides) under Gallus gallus (chicken). Lineage: Eukaryota; Metazoa; Chordata; Aves; Galliformes; Phasianidae. The record is from RNAcentral.
CCACCCCUCCCAUCCCCACCGCCGCCCCACAGCGCCCCUAAAAACCCCAAACCCUCCCGACCCCAUAACCCCUCCCGACCCCAUAUCCCCCCUCCCCGACCCCAUAACUCCCCCCCCUUCGACCCCAUAACCCCCCCCUCCUCCAUCCCCUAUAGGCUCUGUGUAUGGCCGUCACCACCAGCGACGUGGCGGAGACUCAGUCCCUCCUCUUUUGUGGGGCCGACGUGAGCUGCCCUACAGGCGACCCCAAAUGUCCGACCCCAUUGGAUUUGGCACAGAGGAGCGGCCAAAGGCUGCAGAUGGAAUUCCUACAACACAACCGAACGUCGGAACCGCCCUGCCCGGAUUUGGGGUGCGCCGCGGAUCGCCCUAUUCCCGUCUGCUGCCCUCCGUCACUCACUGCGGCUUCCUCUAUAAGACCCCUUCCAUGGCCAAAGCCCUCAGCGAGAGGAAAGGGCAGGAAGG